AGCAGCCGCGGUAAUUCCAGCUCCAAUAGCGUAUAUUAAAGUUGCUGCAGUUAAAAAGCUCGUAGUUGAAUUUCGGGACUAAUAUGUCGGUCGUGCCUCGGUACGUACUGGUAUUUUUGGUUUCUCCCUUCUGACGAACCUUGAUGUCAUUAAUUUGGUGUCUUGGGAAAUCAGGACUGUUACUUUGAAAAAAUUAGAGUGUUUAAAGCAGGCUCACGCUUGAAUACAUUAGCAUGGAAUAAUGAAAUAGGACGUUUGAUUCUAUUUUGUUGGUUUCUAGGAUCGACGUAAUGAUUAAUAGGGAUAGUUGGGGGCAUUAGUAUUCAGUUGUCAGAGGUGAAAUUCUUGGAUUUAUUGAAGACUAACUACUGCGAAAGCAUUUGCCAAGGAUGUUUUCAUUAAUCAAGAACGAAAGUUAGGGGAUCGAAGACGACCAGAUACCGUCGUAGUCUUAACCAUAAACU
This 464-nucleotide ribosomal RNA is filed under the name uncultured Glomus. Its description in RNAcentral is "SSU rRNA". It matches the Rfam family "Eukaryotic small subunit ribosomal RNA", at positions 569 to 1038 of the family's 1831-position model. The record is from RNAcentral. Lineage: Eukaryota; Fungi; Glomeromycota; Glomeromycetes; Glomerales; Glomeraceae.